RNAcentral lists this ribosomal RNA (253 nucleotides) under uncultured bacterium. RNAcentral describes it as "partial 16S ribosomal RNA". It matches the Rfam family "Bacterial small subunit ribosomal RNA", at positions 524 to 776 of the family's 1533-position model. The record is from RNAcentral.
UACGGGGGGGGCAAGCGUUGUUCGGAAUUACUGGGCGUAAAGGGUUCGUAGGUGGCCAACUAAGCCAGACGUGAAAUCCCUCAGCUUAACUGGGGAACUGCGUCUGGGACUGGAUGGCUUGAGUGCAGGAGAGGAACGCGGAAUUCCAGGUGUAGCGGUGAAAUGCGCAGAUAUCAGGAAGAACACCCGUGGCGAAAGCGGCUCUCUGGAACGGUACUGACGCUGAGACGCGAAAGCGUGGGGAGCGAACAGG